CAGUAGAGGUGCAUUGUCUUGCAGAUUCAGAGAGAAUAAGUGACUCCAGACUAUUUAUGAUGACACAAACCACUAUUCCUCUCCUUCUGGAGAAGAGGAGGCUCUGAAGAGACCUUAUCACUCUGUACAACUACCUGAAAGGAGGUUGUGGUGAGGACUCUCACAGAUGUCAGGAGUCUGGAAUGGCAGGUGGUACUUUAGAGCCCAUAAGACAGCAUGGGCUACAACAGGCACGUUUAAAACAGGCACGACCGGCCUCUAGCAAGAUGUGCUAGGUGAAGUUUCACUAUUGGAGAGUGAGACUAGAAAUGAGCCCGAACAAAUCAGUAGUAGCAGAUGAUCCAAGAGGAGGUGUUUUCUGCUGCCCCUCAAUGGAAUUACAAAGUAAGCAAAGAGAUUAUGUCUCCCAAGAUGAUGUCAAUACAGCUCAGUGUCAGGAAUCUCACGCUCAGGCCUGGUACAGCCUCAUACCAGAAGAAAAAGCAGAUUCUGACACCAACAAUUCUUACUUGAGUCCAUUUUCAAACACUCCAGUGAUGCAGAACAAACGAAAAUAGCCAUGUCAUCUCAUCCCAAUAAGCUGUUGGAUUUUUUUGGCAUUCUCAGGCUUGUACUCAGAAGUAUAGGAAAGCAAGAGCCCUUGUUAAUUCUUUC
Molecule: long non-coding RNA, 654 nt
Filed under: Numida meleagris (helmeted guineafowl)
Lineage: Eukaryota; Metazoa; Chordata; Aves; Galliformes; Numididae
Description: lncRNA (ENSNMEG00000016433.1)
Source: RNAcentral